This 1944-nucleotide long non-coding RNA is filed under the name Medicago truncatula (barrel medic). RNAcentral's name for it is "lncRNA gene514". Lineage: Eukaryota; Viridiplantae; Streptophyta; Magnoliopsida; Fabales; Fabaceae. The record is from RNAcentral.
AAAAAGAUUUAUCUAUGAUUUUAUUCUAUAACCUCUUUCUCGCUCAAACAAAAUAGAACUAGAGCAAGAAACUCAUCCAAAUGAGAAUUAUAAAAAAGUUAAUAAACGUUGUAUUUUAGUUAUCAUAAGGUUUUAUACACUAUGAUGGAUGAUGAGUUGUUUCAUUUUCAAUUGAGGAACUUGGCAUUUUCAUUGUUGCAGCAAUGGCACAAUGAUGCAAAUCAGCCAAGGAAAAGAAAUUCCUCUGCAAAGGAGAUGCUAAAGAAGACACUCUAUUUCCCGGAUGACGCGGCGGAAGUGGUGAUGAAGGUGCUGAAGAAUAUGAGGUUGAAGUAGCUGAAUCAUCACUUGUAAAACUAGAGCUGCUAUCAGAAUUGCUUAAUGCAACUGCAAGAGCUAAAGCACUUCUACUUAAGCUCAUUGUUCUCUUUGAAAUGCCACCACUAUUGCUUCUCAAAGGGAAAUUUUUGUUCUUGUCCCAACCAUGAUUGAAAGCCAGCAAAUUUCUACGUCUUCUUGUGUAUGCAUUCUCUGGUUUUACAAUGUCUUUUACAGAUGGUGUUGUCACAACAUCAGCUAGGCUUGUGAAGGACUUAGACUUCCCACUGUAGAAAUUUGAGAUACUUCUCCUGCAUAACCAUAAAAGAUUGAAAUAGCCUUCAUUAUUUAGAAGAUUAAUUUGUCAAAACUGAUUUUGAAAUGAAGUGUACAAUGUUUGAAAGUUUUUAUUCGAUAGUAAAUUUUGAUAUAAAUCUGCACAAUUUGGAAUGAAGUUUGAAUCAACUUUCAUUCGUGCAUAUUUUGGAUUAACGGUGAGUUUAGCAGCCCCAAAACUACACAAUCACUAUGCCGCCAUGAUUUUGUCAAACUCACGGCGAUUACAAACAAGGCAAAAAUGAAUUUGCUAAAUGUCCUCAACCAAAACCAAAAAAAAGGCCAUAUUCAGUUUUAGUAUUCAAUUCAAUUCUAAAGUUUAUUCAGUACCAAUUGCAAACAUGUACUUUAAUACAAAACCAAAUUUUCUUCUAUCAAAAUCCAAGAGUAUGAUUGAAGCUUACAAAAGGUUUAUCCAAAACAUAAUGAAUUCAUUGGUUGAACCUAUAUCAAAUCAACACAAAAACUUACUAUAUUUAGCAAAAACCCACUCGGUACAAUAUAAACCUAAUUUUGUGAAACCAAGGGAAUACAAAUACAGACAAAACCUAUAGAUCACAUCAUCCUACACUACUGGAUAGACAUGCCUUACAAUACAAUCACCAAAUUUCAUUUCUCAAACUUUUAAUUUCAUCAAAUUGAUCCAACAAUAGUACCCUAAUUAGUUUAACUAAUACCCCACAAAAAUUCAUUUCUCAAACUUUUCAUUUCAUCAAAUUGAUUCAACAAUCAGUACCCUAACUAAUUUAACUAAUAUAACUAAUACCCAAAAAAAAGCAACCUUUACAAUUUAACAACCCUGCUUAAAACAUUAAAAAAAAAAACUAAAUAUCAAAACACAAUCAACAAGCAAACAAAUUAUAUUAAUUGAAACUAAGAUAAAAACUUAAAAUCAUUUCAGUAAAAUAAAACAUUCAAAAGUGAAGGAUCUAACAUCAAAUUCACAAGGUAUAUGAUAUAAUCUAACAAAACAAUAAAAAAAUAAAAAUAUAAUGGAAAAAAUGUUAAUAAUGAAUGGUUACCUAAUAGGAAGAACCUCUUCUAAAGCUUCCAUACAAUCUAAAGCACCACCAUUAUAUUUACUCUCAGCUUCAUUCUCAUCCAUUGAUCUUUCCGAUGAAACCUCAUCAUCAUCAUCAUCAUCACUAUUUCUUCCGAUCGAUGAAGACGACGUCGUACUACACACCUUCCCUUGAUCAUCAUCAUGAUCCCUUGGCGCGUCAAAUAACACGGAAGUACGUGAUCCCACGCGCUUAAACGCCACCGUUUCAAGCUCCAUAAUCAACAACA